Non-coding RNA from Aedes albopictus (Asian tiger mosquito), 46 nucleotides. The record is from Rfam. NCBI's taxonomy places the organism in Eukaryota, Metazoa, Arthropoda, Insecta, Diptera, Culicidae.
CAAACGGUCCUUUUAAGGACCAUCGAAAAUGAUUUUUUGCAAUUAU